RNAcentral lists this ribosomal RNA (458 nucleotides) under uncultured bacterium. Its description in RNAcentral is "bacterial SSU rRNA". It matches the Rfam family "Bacterial small subunit ribosomal RNA", at positions 338 to 793 of the family's 1533-position model. The record is from RNAcentral.
CCUACGGGAGGCAGCAGUGAGGAAUAUUGGACAAUGGAGGCAACUCUGAUCCAGCCAUGCCGCGUGCAGGAUGACGGCCCUAUGGGUUGUAAACUGCUUUUAUGUAGGAAGAAACACUCUCACGUGUGAGAGCUUGACGGUACUACAAGAAUAAGGACCGGCUAACUCCGUGCCAGCAGCCGCGGUAAUACGGAGGGUCCAAGCGUUAUCCGGAAUCAUUGGGUUUAAAGGGUCCGUAGGCGGGCUAUUAAGUCAGAGGUGAAAGUUUGCAGCUCAACUGUAAAAUUGCCUUUGAAACUGGUAGUCUUGAAUUAUUAUGAAGUGGUUAGAAUAAGUAGUGUAGCGGUGAAAUGCAUAGAUAUUACUUAGAAUACCAAUUGCGAAGGCAGAUCACUAAUAAUAUAUUGACGCUGAGGGACGAAAGCGUGGGGAGCGAACAGGAUUAGAUACCCUGGUAG